Molecule: ribosomal RNA, 231 nt
Filed under: uncultured bacterium
Lineage: Bacteria
Description: partial 16S ribosomal RNA
Rfam family: Bacterial small subunit ribosomal RNA
Source: RNAcentral
GCAAGUCGAACGAGACCCUAGAGCUUGCUCUAGGUGACAGUGGCAGACGGGUGAGUAACGCGUGGCAACCUACCUUUUUCUACGGAACAACAGUUAGAAAUGACUGCUAAUACCGUAUACGCCCUUCGGGGGAAAGAAUUUCGGUGAAAGAUGGGGCCGCGUUAGAUUAGCUAGUUGGUGAGGUAAUGGCUCACCAAGGCGACGAUCUAUAGCUGGUCUGAGAGGAUGAUC